GGCUUAAUACAUGCAAGUCGAGGGGCAGCAUGAUUGUAGCAAUACAAUUGAUGGCGACCGGCAAACGGGUGCGGAACACGUACACAACCUUCCAAUAAGUGGGGAAUAGCCCAGAGAAAUUUGGAUUAAUACCCCGUAACAUAACGAUGUGGCAUCACAUUGUUAUUAUAGAUUUUUCGCUUAUUGAUGGGUGUGCGGCUGAUUAGAUAGUUGGCGGGGUAACGGCCCACCAAGUCUACGAUCAGUAGCUGAUGUGAGAGCAUGAUCAGCCACACGGGCACUGAGACACGGGCCCGACUCCUACGGGAGGCAGCAGUAAGGAAUAUUGGACAAUGGACGCAAGUCUGAUCCAGCCAUGCCGCGUGAAGGAUUAAGGUCCUCUGGAUUGUAAACUUC
This 396-nucleotide ribosomal RNA is filed under the name uncultured organism. RNAcentral's name for it is "bacterial SSU rRNA". It matches the Rfam family "Bacterial small subunit ribosomal RNA", at positions 45 to 433 of the family's 1533-position model. The record is from RNAcentral.